Non-coding RNA from Rhizobiales bacterium TMED25, 336 nucleotides. The record is from Rfam. NCBI's taxonomy places the organism in Bacteria, Pseudomonadati, Pseudomonadota, Alphaproteobacteria, Hyphomicrobiales.
CUAGAUGGUCGGAUGAUCGCUAUGGAAAUAGAGGAAAGUCCGGGCUCCACGGAGGAACAGUGCCGGAUAACAUCCGGCGGAGGAAACUCUAGGGAAAGUGCAGCAGAAAAUAUACCGCCAUUAUGAGUAUGGUAAGGGUGAAAAGGUGUGGUAAGAGCACACCGCAUUAAUGGUAACAUUGAUGGCAUUGUAAACCCCACUGGGAGCAAGACCAAAUAGAGGUGGUAAUUGUCCUUCGCAUUAUACCAUCUGGGUAGGUCGCUUGAGUCAUUUGGUAACUUAUGACCUAGAUGAAUGAUCAUAAUACAAAACCCGGCUUAUAGACCAUCUAGCAUU